RNAcentral lists this ribosomal RNA (954 nucleotides) under uncultured Methylophilus sp. Its description in RNAcentral is "bacterial SSU rRNA". It matches the Rfam family "Bacterial small subunit ribosomal RNA", at positions 45 to 991 of the family's 1533-position model. The record is from RNAcentral. Lineage: Bacteria; Pseudomonadati; Pseudomonadota; Betaproteobacteria; Nitrosomonadales; Methylophilaceae.
UGCUUUACACAUGCAAGUCGAACGGCCAGCACGGACUUCGGUCUGGUGGCGAGUGGCGAACGGGUGAGUAAUAUAUCGGAACGUAUCCAAUAAUGGGGGAUAACUAAUCGAAAGGUUGGCUAAUACCGCAUACGCCCUUACGGGGAAAGCUAGGAUCUUCGGACCUGGCGUUAAUGGAGCGGCUGAUAUCUGAUUAGCUAGUAGGUGAGGUAAAGGCUCACCUAGCGACGAUCAGUAGCUGGUCUGAGAGGACGACCAGCCACACUGGAACUGAGACACGGUCCAGACUCCUACGGGAGGCAGCAGUGGGGAAUUUUGGACAAUGGGCGAAAGCCUGAUCCAGCCAUUCCGCGUGAGUGAAGAAGGCCUUCGGGUUGUAAAGCUCUUUCGCAAGGGAAGAAAACUUAUCCUCUAACAUAGGGUGAGGUUGACGGUACCUUGAUAAGAAGCACCGGCUAACUACGUGCCAGCAGCCGCGGUAUACGUAGGGUGCGAGCGUUAAUCGGAAUUACUGGGCGUAAAGCGUGCGCAGGCGGUUUUGUAAGUCAGAUGUGAAAUCCCCGAGCUCAACUUGGGAACUGCGUUUGAAACUAUAAGACUAGAAUAUGUCAGAGGGGGGUAGAAUUCCACGUGUAGCAGUGAAAUGCGUAGAGAUGUGGAGGAAUACCCAAUGGCGAAGGCAGCCCCCUGGGAUAAUAUUGACGUUCAUGCACGAAAGCGUGGGGAGCAAACAGGUUAGAUACCCUGGUAGUCCACGCCCUAAACGAUGUCUACUAGUUGUUGGUGGAGUAAGAUCCAUGUGUAACGCAGCUAACGCGUGAAGUAGACCGCCUGGGGAGUACGGUCGCAAGAUUAAAACUCAAAUGAAUUGACGGGGGCCCGCACAAGCGGUGGGAUUAUUGUGGAUUAAUUCGAUGCAAAGCGAAAAAACCUUACCUGGGCCUUGAAUUGUUA